GGUGUUUUGGCCGAGUUGGUCUAAGGCGUCAGACUUAAGAUCUGAUGGACAGUUGUCCGCGCGAGUUCGAACCUCGCAGGCACCA
This is a transfer RNA of 85 nucleotides. It matches the Rfam family "tRNA". From Rfam's summary of the family: Transfer RNA (tRNA) molecules are approximately 80 nucleotides in length. Their secondary structure includes four short double-helical elements and three loops (D, anti-codon, and T loops).